RNAcentral lists this ribosomal RNA (69 nucleotides) under Plantago maritima subsp. maritima. RNAcentral's name for it is "partial 26S ribosomal RNA". It matches the Rfam family "Eukaryotic large subunit ribosomal RNA", at positions 1 to 63 of the family's 3401-position model. The record is from RNAcentral. Lineage: Eukaryota; Viridiplantae; Streptophyta; Magnoliopsida; Lamiales; Plantaginaceae.
CGACCGCGACCCCAGGUCAGACGGGAUUACCCGCUGAGUUUAAGCAUAUCAAUAAGCGGUGGAGAAGAA